Long non-coding RNA from Canis lupus familiaris (dog), 725 nucleotides. RefSeq lists it as uncharacterized. The transcript has 4 exons. NCBI's taxonomy places the organism in Eukaryota, Metazoa, Chordata, Mammalia, Carnivora, Canidae. The record is from RefSeq and is a predicted model, not a curated record.
CUCCUGAGAUCAAGUCAGAGCAUCCCAAGAGUGCUCUAGACUAUACUCUUGGCUUUUACCAUAAGAAACUUUGCAGGGAGAAUGCUUCUGCCUUUGCAUAUGGAGGGAGCUUCACUACUGUGAGAAUCAUCUCUCCAGGGAAGGAGGAGGAGCUUCUUUUAUUGCUGAGUUUGAGACAGUGAAUUGGGAAGUGUUGGGCUUCUGCAUUAGAUUCUACUCACAAUCCAUAAAAUCAUUUAGAAAGCUAUUAUUUGCCACACAACGACAAGAAGUUGAGAGUCCCUCCUCCCCCUCAAAAUGUGUCACUGGUCUGAGAACAUGAUUCGAGACCUGCAAUAGUACCACACAGAGGCAUAGUUAAAUCCCUUUGGGAAGAAUGUAGGGAAGCCUACAGGCUGGGGUAGGUACAGACCCUGAGCACUUUCUGGGUUCCAGAUGAAGAAGCUUAUAGACAAGGCUCUGGCUUCUCCCCGCACUGGCUCCAGGUCCUCCCUGCAUUUCUGCCUCCAGAAGGCCCUGCAGAAGUCUGAGCUCCCUGAGCUGCCACCUGGUCCCAAGGCUGAAAGGAGAAGGCCGAAAAGAUGAUCCUUUGAAAUAAAAGAGAGUGGGAAAGACAAAAUUGGCCUCUCCAGAUCACUAAUUCAUGUCUCUCUUAAAAUGUUCUUUAAUCUUCAGCUUCAUUUAUUCCAUCCUGGCCCAGGGGUUUGUUUCCAUAAUUUGGGAGA